RNAcentral lists this ribosomal RNA (1004 nucleotides) under Microbacterium sp. NUS-AR-2/2011. RNAcentral describes it as "bacterial SSU rRNA". It matches the Rfam family "Bacterial small subunit ribosomal RNA", at positions 567 to 1533 of the family's 1533-position model. Lineage: Bacteria; Bacillati; Actinomycetota; Actinomycetes; Micrococcales; Microbacteriaceae. The record is from RNAcentral.
GUUUCGUUAGGCGGUUUGUCGCGUCUGCUGUGAAAUCCCGAGGCUCAACCUCGGGCCUGCAGUGGGUACGGGCAGACUAGAGUGCGGUAGGGGAGAUUGGAAUUCCUGGUGUAGCGGUGGAAUGCGCAGAUAUCAGGAGGAACACCGAUGGCGAAGGCAGAUCUCUGGGCCGUAACUGACGCUGAGGAGCGAAAGGGUGGGGAGCAAACAGGCUUAGAUACCCUGGUAGUCCACCCCGUAAACGUUGGGAACUAGUUGUGGGGACCAUUCCACGGUUUCCGUGACGCAGCUAACGCAUUAAGUUCCCCGCCUGGGGAGUACGGCCGCAAGGCUAAAACUCAAAGGAAUUGACGGGGACCCGCACAAGCGGCGGAGCAUGCGGAUUAAUUCGAUGCAACGCGAAGAACCUUACCAAGGCUUGACAUACACCAGAACACCGUAGAAAUACGGGACUCUUUGGACACUGGUGAACAGGUGGUGCAUGGUUGUCGUCAGCUCGUGUCGUGAGAUGUUGGGUUAAGUCCCGCAACGAGCGCAACCCUCGUUCUAUGUUGCCAGCACGUAAUGGUGGGAACUCAUGGGAUACUGCCGGGGUCAACUCGGAGGAAGGUGGGGAUGACGUCAAAUCAUCAUGCCCCUUAUGUCUUGGGCUUCACGCAUGCUACAAUGGCCGGUACAAAGGGCUGCAAUACCGUGAGGUGGAGCGAAUCCCAAAAAGCCGGUCCCAGUUCGGAUUGAGGUCUGCAACUCGACCUCAUGAAGUCGGAGUCGCUAGUAAUCGCAGAUCAGCAACGCUGCGGUGAAUACGUUCCCGGGUCUUGUACACACCGCCCGUCAAGUCAUGAAAGUCGGUAACACCUGAAGCCGGUGGCCUAACCCUUGUGGAGGGAGCCGUCGAAGUGGGAUCGGUAAUUAGACUAAGUCUCGGGGGGGUGCGUCUCGUCUUAUUUUGGGCGGCCCUUUUUUUUGGACAUCACCCUCUUCCUUUUCUCUGCCGAUAAGAG